This is a long non-coding RNA of Drosophila nasuta, 1555 nucleotides long. RefSeq lists it as uncharacterized. The transcript has 3 exons. Lineage: Eukaryota; Metazoa; Arthropoda; Insecta; Diptera; Drosophilidae. The record is from RefSeq and is a predicted model, not a curated record.
UUAACGAAAUAACGAAAUUCAGUUCCAAAUUCAUUUUGUUUGCGGGCAGUCGAAACAUUUAAAAUGGGCGGAUUAAAAUUUAACGGAGUUUUCUUACUGAUGGUCCUUCAAAUAUUCUUGGUGGCUACAACAACUGGAGAUGAAACGUGUGAAGACCGAAAAUUGGAAGAACAGUGUCGCUUUCAUAACUACAAGACUGUCAAACCUUUGCUAGAUUACUUCAGGCAGGUUAGAAAUGAGUUAGAACAAAGUGAAACUAAGGAAAAACAGAUAAGUGAAUUAAAUUCUGAUCUUAUGGAAAAAUAUCAUGAAAUUGUAAGAAUUCAUGAAACAUUCAUGAAGGAGGCAGCUCUAUUAAAUGAGUAUAAAAAACAAAGUAAUCAAUGGGGAAAACGAUUUGCAAUUGUGUCAAAAUAAAGUUGAUAAAUCUGAAUCUGAAAUUAAUUCACAACAAAGUAUUAUUCUUAAAUUAAAAGAACAACUAACAGAUAAAUCCACCAACUUAGAAAAUUGUCAAGUUCAAUUAAAAUCUCUUAAUUCUACAUUAAUUGAAAAAGAUGAAAAUAUAAGGAUAUUUAGUGAGAAUAUUAAAAAUAACACAGAACAUCAGAAUACACUUGAGUUGGAAUUUGAAGAGAGUAAAUCUAAAUUAAUAAAUCAUGAAAAAGAUAUUCAGUUAUGUCGUUCAGAAAUCAACGAAUUAAAUAGGACAUCAGAGAGCAUUAAGGAAGAACAGAAAAAGAUUCAAUUGAUAUUAAAAGAAUGUGAAACUAAGCUAAUAGAUAAAGUAAAUGAAACUAAGCUAAAUCAAUCUGAACUUGAUAAAUUAAGUGCCACAACAUGCAUCCCUCAUGCAUCAGGAGUUCAUCAACUCAAUGUCUCCGGCAUAGGUUUAUUCAAUGUUUUAUGCGAUAGUCAGUUAGCUGGACCUGGAUGGAUUGUAAUACAACAACGAGUUGGGGGGAAAUGAGAAUUUCACUAGGGAUUGGGCAACGUAUCGCAAAGGUUUCGGUUCUUUUGGAAGUGAUUUCUUUCUUGGUUUAGAGAAAAUACAUCGUAUCACGAGCUUGCAGCGUUUCGAACUUUACAUACAUUUGGUUGCUCUGAAUGGAAAUACCUACAACGCUCGCUAUGAUGACUUCAAAAUAUCUGAUGAAGAUAAUGGAUAUGCACUGAGUUUGGGUAAAUUCAGUGGAACUUUUAUUGGGGAUGGCUUGAGAUACAAUGAAAACAUGAAAUUCACAACAUUCGAUCACGACAACGACAAAGUUGAUAAUGGUAAUUGCGCAGUCUGGUAUAAAAGUGGCUGGUGGUACAAUUAUUGUUCUCAUUGUAAUUUAAAUGCACCAUAUGGUAGUCUAUAUUGGAACUAUGGGUUAAUUUUACUUAAAGAAGUUAAGAUGCUAAUUCGCCCCAAAGAAGAGACGAAGAAGUGAUAAACUGAAAAGCUGCAAUUCCCAUAUUUGACUCAAUUAUGUAAUCAUUUAUAUUUGAUUGGUGCCUUAAGAAAAAUAUAACGAUCGACUAUUUAAUGCAGCGAUUUAUUUAUUGAAUG